RNAcentral lists this ribosomal RNA (854 nucleotides) under uncultured bacterium. RNAcentral's name for it is "bacterial SSU rRNA". It matches the Rfam family "Bacterial small subunit ribosomal RNA", at positions 10 to 910 of the family's 1533-position model. The record is from RNAcentral.
AGUUGUAUCCUGGCUCAGAACGAACGCUGGCGGCAGGCCUAAUACAUGCAAGUCGAGCGCGCCCUUCGGGGUGAGCGGCGGACGGGUGAGUAACGCGUGGGAAUAUGCCCUUCUCUAAGGAAUAGCCUCUGGAAACGGAGAGUAAUACCUUAUACGCCCUUCGGGGGAAAGAUUUAUCGGAGAAGGAUUAGCCCGCGUUAGAUUAGGUAGUUGGUGGGGUAAUGGCCUACCAAGCCUACGAUCUAUAGCUGGUUUGAGAGGAUGAUCAGCCACACUGGGACUGAGACACGGCCCAGACUCCUACGGGAGGCAGCAGUAGGGAAUCUUAGACAAUGGGGGCAACCCUGAUCUAGCCAUGCCGCGUGUGUGAUGAAGGCCCUAGGGUCGUAAAGCACUUUCGCCAGAGAUGAUAAUGACAGUAUCUGGUAAAGAAACCCCGGCUAACUCCGUGCCAGCAGCCGCGGUAAUACGGAGGGGGUUAGCGUUGUUCGGAAUUACUGGGCGUAAAGCGCACGUAGGCGGAUUAGUAAGUUAGAGGUGAAAUCCCAGGGCUCAACCCUGGAACUGCCUUUAAUACUGCUAGUCUUGAGUUCGAGAGAGGUAAGUGGAAUUCCGAGUGUAGAGGUGAAAUUCGUAGAUAUUCGGAGGAACACCAGUGGCGAAGGCGGCUUACUGGCUCGAUACUGACGCUNAGGUGCGAAAGUGUGGGGAGCAAACAGGAUUAGAUACCCUGGUAGUCCACACCGUAAACGAUGAAUGCCAGACGUCAGCAAGUAUACUUGUUGGUGUCACACCUAACGGAUUAAGCAUUCCGCCUGGGGAGUACGGUCGCNAAGAUUAAAACUCAAAGGAAU